Molecule: non-coding RNA, 1021 nt
Organism: Pocillopora verrucosa
Lineage: Eukaryota; Metazoa; Cnidaria; Anthozoa; Scleractinia; Pocilloporidae
Source: RefSeq, a predicted model, not a curated record
AGCCCUGCGGUGUGAAUUUCGUUCAAAGCGAAAUGGAUUUUGCUGCAGUGGCAAGUGAAACAGUCAAAUUUACAGAAAUGUAUAUCAUGGAAGCGAAAAAGGCUUGAGAUAAUUAACAAAAUAGAAGCUAAAAGGGCGAGCAGCGCCACCAGAGAACUAAACGUAAACACACUACGUUGGUCGGUAUAGGGCUAGGAUGAUGUUGGGGACGAAGUGAUUCCAUCGCCAACAGUGUCGGCUUUUUAACGAAAACUGAAAACUUGAGUAGUUCGUGUCACUUCUCUGAAUAGAAGUGUAGUGGAUAUCCUGGGAAAAGCUUAAAGAUAUCGCUUUGGUGUCAAUCCGUCAGGAACACAAUUUCUGCAGCUCCUGAGGAGACGUUAUGUUCGAUUAACAUGUGCUCCAGGUUGGUUCAACUCUCCUAACAAAUGUCUGUAUGAUAUUAUCACUACCACUGCUGGCAGCACAUAAUUAUGUGACAUUGUACUGGGUACACUUCAUGGUUGGAUCAUGGCUGUAAUUUAUGGUACAGGUGUCUAAAGGGUUUUUUUCUUAAUGAAUGAUAUGAUACUGAUGUUAUUAACAGUACAUGCUGAUAUUGUCCAACAGGUAGCUACUACAUGUAAGUUCAAUGAGUGAUUUUGACUAAAAAUAAUAAAAUGCAGUAUACCCUCAUAUAUCUCUGUUCACUUCCUAUUUAGCACUAGUCUCAAAUCAUCAACUUGCAUACCUCAAAAGCUACUGGUGCAUGUAUGCAUACCUUUACCUUUCCAAACACAAUAAGGAUUUGAAUUAAGAAACAUAAUUCCAGUCUCUUUAUGUAUCUGGUGUUAUUUGACAAUCCUUUAAAAAUCAUUGUGACCCUUUACUUCUAGGAACUGAAGCAUCCUCAUGAACAUCAUCGUGUAUACAACAAGAGUUUAACUGAUGUGUGGCUGAAACUGUUAUAUCAUUGCAUUAUUUUCUUAGUAUUUUUUGUUGUAUGGAAAAUGAAUGAUUAAUAAAGAGUUAAUAAAUGACA